AAAAAUAGACAUUUUGAAAAAGGUUGGAAACCUGUAACCAUUGACCUCCAUAGUAUUUGUUUCUCCCACAAUGGAAGUCAAUGGUUACAGGUUUUCAGCAUUCUUCAAAACAUCUUCUUUUGUGUU
RNAcentral lists this microRNA precursor (126 nucleotides) under Danio rerio (zebrafish). Its description in RNAcentral is "miRNA (ENSDARG00000098593.3)". Lineage: Eukaryota; Metazoa; Chordata; Actinopteri; Cypriniformes; Danionidae. The record is from RNAcentral.